RNAcentral lists this ribosomal RNA (400 nucleotides) under uncultured bacterium. RNAcentral describes it as "bacterial SSU rRNA". It matches the Rfam family "Bacterial small subunit ribosomal RNA", at positions 355 to 747 of the family's 1533-position model. The record is from RNAcentral.
UGGGGAAUAUUGGACAAUGGGGGAAACCCUGAUCCAGCCAUGCCGCGUGUGUGAAGAAGGCCUUCGGGUUGUAAAGCACUUUCAGUGGGGAGGAAGGCUUGGUGGUUAAUACCCAUCAGGAUUGACGUUACCCACAGAAGAAGCACCGGCUAACUCCGUGCCAGCAGCCGCGGUAAUACGGAGGGUGCGAGCGUUAAUCGGAAUUACUGGGCGUAAAGCGCGCGUAGGCGGUUUGUUAAGCCAGAUGUGAAAGCCCCGGGCUCAACCUGGGAACUGCAUUUGGUACUGGCAGGCUAGAGUACGGUAGAGGGUGGUGGAAUUUCCAGUGUAGCGGUGAAAUGCGUAGAGAUUGGAAGGAACAUCAGUGGCGAAGGCGGCCACCUGGACUGAUACUGACGCU